UUAUUAGUUCUAAAUUCUCCAAAAUUAAUGAAAAUUUAUUUAAAAUUGAAUAUUUUCCUCAUUCUCUUUCAUUGGCUCCAUAUUUUUUGAUAAACAACCGAAUACAUUUUCAUUUUCAUAUAUUGUUAGAAAAAUAAAUUACGUAUUCUCGAUUUUAAAAGUAACUCAUCAAAAACAUCAUAUUGUUUCUGUAAAAUAAGUUUAAAAAAUAUUAAUUUAAAAAUUAAUACCAAACACACCCUUAAUAACAAUGAUUGAAGUUGAGGUUUUGCCAUCUUUAAUCAGUGUUACUUUGAAAAUCAUGUUUCACGACAUAUCAAAUCGUGUUUCGCGACAUAUCCACGGGAAAAAUAAAUUAUGUGUAUCACAAAAUUAAAAUAAAUUUCGGACAAUAUUUUUUUUAUAGUUAUUUAAUCAAAAGUCGAUUGUCGCUUUUUGAGUACAAAUAAAAAAAAAAAAAAUCUUGGACGGGCCAUAAAGGACAAUUGUGCAAAAGUUAAAUAAGACAAAACAAAAAGGAUUCAUUACAAGAUAACCACGAAACUAUUAUUUUAUUUUUGUUUUAUAGUCCGUUCAAAACAUAACAAAACAAAACAAAAUGUAUAUAUAUUUUUUUGGUUGAGAUUGAUUUUUUCCAAUAAAAGUUUUGACAUUAAAGAAAUGAUAAAAUAUUAGUGAAAUUUUAUAGUUAAGUGGAUCUAACGACUGGUGCAACUGUGGCACGGUACCACAGUUGCACUGUAGCCUGACCCUAUAAUUAUUUAUCAUGAAAAGAUCGUGUGACCAUUAACUCGAUUGUUUUUUUUAUAUAAGAUUCAAAUUUAAUUUUUAAGUGUGUCAAUGUCAACCCAUUUUAUUAGGUGACAUAAGUAGUCAAUUAUUAAAUGAAUUGUGAUGAAUCACUUUGUAUGUUUUUCAUGUUGGAUUCAAAAUUCACCUGUCUGUUAUUAGCAUACAUUUCAUAUGUUACGACAUGACGAUUUAUUUGUUUUCUAUUUUUACUUCCGUUAAGAAUAGAAUUUGAAAAUUUUGGAUUUAUGUGUUACACAUCAGUUUUGUGGUAACACGUUCCUAAUCCUCCUAUAUGUGUCUUCUUCGACCGACGUGAUUUCACAAUAUUUUAAAUGAAGCUCCUAAACCAAAUAACUUAGAGUAUCUAUAAAUGAUUUGAAGAGUUACAUCAAUAUUUAAA
Molecule: long non-coding RNA, 1192 nt
Filed under: Citrus x clementina
Lineage: Eukaryota; Viridiplantae; Streptophyta; Magnoliopsida; Sapindales; Rutaceae
Description: Citrus clementina (C. clementina) long non-coding RNA (CCLE_LNC003655)
Source: RNAcentral